CCAAUGAAAAUCUCCCACAAUGUGAAGUUACCUUUGGACAUUUGAAGAUUUAAAAAAAAUUAUUUGCUGGUAAUUGGAGUUGUCUGUGUUUAGUAAUCGAUAUGCAUGUUAUCUUCUGUACCCCUUCCCAUCUACCCCAGCAUCAGCCUGUGAUUCUUUGUUUGAGAUGGAGUUGAGGUGGCAUAAGGCACGCUCUUUCCCAUGUGCUUNGCUUGGUACCAUUCUUAAGGAUUUUUUUAAAUUGUUUUAAGGCAAACUCCUGCUCAGAGCAGUACUGGUUAGGGAGAGGAUCUCCAAAAUUGGUCCAGUUCAGUUUUAUGAGUCUCCAACAAGAGAGAUUCCACAUCCUGUCUGGACAACCUCUUCCAGUAGAUGAGCUUUCUCCUGGUGGAAGGCUUGGGGGCUUUUGUUUUUGUAUUUUUUUUUCUUUUCCUUGUGUCUCUUGAGAAUUUUCCAAGUUCUAAUAUGUGUUCAUCCACUCUUGUGCUCUGAACACCUUUGAGUCUGACUUACUCAUAUUUAUACCCUCCUAAUACGUAGUUGUAGCCAGUAAUAAUUACAUCCUGGCACCUUUAUCCUUUUUAAGGCUUAGCAAAGUCAUUUCAUUUGGUAUCCUGAUAUGUCUAUUCUCCAGUCCCUUAACCAUCUUGGCAGCCCACUGCUGAGCUUAGGCAGUUUGUCAUGUAUACUUGGAAGUUAACUGUAUUGGAUGUCUUUUUCUUAAGUAGUCACGUUUCUCAGAUGAGUCAUUAUUUGUUAUUAUGAAAUGCCCAGCCGAGUGGUAGUAGACAAAGUUCUUCUUGAAUUGAGGGCUUAUGAAAACCAUAUUUGUUCCUUUUAAUAAGAUUUGAAUGAAGAUCUGGGAUGUUUUUGUUUUUUGUGAGGAAGGUGCAUGUCUAUGUAUAUGUAUUUAAUUAUGUAAGUAAUUCUUUUCUCGUCUCCUUGAAUUUAGGCACCAACACAGUGUCUUCCAGGGCAGUGGUCUGUUUCACAGUCUCCAACCUCUUCACCUUCGUUGUUUUAUCUGCACCCAUCAGAAGUUAUUUAUCAACCAGUAGGGAUUGCCCAGGAAGGUGGUUGCGUACCUUCUCCUUUCCUUCUAGUGGAAGCUGCAGUUCCUGAG
Molecule: long non-coding RNA, 1123 nt
Filed under: Pavo cristatus (Indian peafowl)
Lineage: Eukaryota; Metazoa; Chordata; Aves; Galliformes; Phasianidae
Description: lncRNA (ENSPSTG00000009493.1)
Source: RNAcentral